Long non-coding RNA from Manacus vitellinus (golden-collared manakin), 406 nucleotides. RefSeq lists it as uncharacterized. The record is from RefSeq and is a predicted model, not a curated record. Lineage: Eukaryota; Metazoa; Chordata; Aves; Passeriformes; Pipridae. The transcript has 2 exons.
UUUUUUGCUUGUAAGGCUUUGAUUUCCUUAUGACAGAGGGUGACCCAAAUUAUAUUCUUCAGUAGGAACAGAUUUGUAAAAAGCACCUUAACGCCUGCCCCAAGGAUUGUAAAUAAGGACAACAGCCUUCAGACCCGGAACUUUGGAAGGCCUCCAAGGGCUGCACGUGCUUUGAUGAAGAGGAAGAUGAUGAAAGAGGGGUCCCAAACUCCCCCAGACUCAAUUCCCGAAGGGGUGUGCCAGGGUGCAGAAUGGGGCAGAGCCAGGAGGUGGACGAACAGGGACUGGAUGGACAUCAUUAUAAAAUUGUAACACCUGAGUCGAAACCGCACACACAACUGUUGUAUUCCCGGAGCCCAGUGGCUCAUUAAAGCUUUCUGCUUUCUUAUCUUAUCUUAUACCCUAA